This 492-nucleotide ribosomal RNA is filed under the name uncultured bacterium. Its description in RNAcentral is "partial 16S ribosomal RNA". It matches the Rfam family "Bacterial small subunit ribosomal RNA", at positions 29 to 507 of the family's 1533-position model. The record is from RNAcentral.
AGUGAACGCUGGCGGUAGGCCUAACACAUGCAAGUCGAACGGCAGCACAGUAAGAGCUUGCUCUUACGGGUGGCGAGUGGCGGACGGGUGAGGAAUACAUCGGAAUCUACCUUUUCGUGGGGGAUAACGUAGGGAAACUUACGCUAAUACCGCAUACGACCUACGGGUGAAAGCAGGGGAUCUUCGGACCUUGCGCGAUUGAAUGAGCCGAUGUCGGAUUAGCUAGUUGGCGGGGUAAAGGCCCACCAAGGCGACGAUCCGUAGCUGGUCUGAGAGGAUGAUCAGGCAAAAUGGAAACGAGAAACGGUCCAGAAUCCUAAGGGAGGCAGCAGUGGGGAAUAUUGGACAAUGGGCGCAAGCCUGAUCCAGCCAUACCGCGUGGGUGAAGAAGGCCUUCGGGUUGUAAAGCCCUUUUGUUGGGAAAGAAAAGCAGCAGGUUAAUACCCCGCUGUUCUGACGGUACCCAAAGAAUAAGCACCGGCUAACUUCGUG